GGCGUCUCUGCGGUGUGCGCCAGCACACUCUUACAUUUGCCUUGUUCCUAAAUACGGCCCCGGGUCGGCGCUUCAUCGGUUGUUGUGCAUGUCCGCCACGUGCGGAAAGCCUCGAGACCCUGAACGCCCUCCCACCUGAUCCAUCGUGGAUCAAGGUCGUUUGGUGGGCAGCGGCAUCGCGGUCGACGCCA
RNAcentral lists this non-coding RNA (191 nucleotides) under Rhodanobacter glycinis. RNAcentral's name for it is "6S / SsrS RNA". It matches the Rfam family "6S / SsrS RNA". From Rfam's summary of the family: E. coli 6S RNA was the first non coding RNA to be sequenced, but its function was unknown until recently. It consists of 184 nucleotides that fold into an extended hairpin structure with a large single-stranded internal bulge. Lineage: Bacteria; Pseudomonadati; Pseudomonadota; Gammaproteobacteria; Lysobacterales; Rhodanobacteraceae. The record is from RNAcentral.